This is a non-coding RNA of Xyrichtys novacula (pearly razorfish), 7008 nucleotides long. The record is from the annotation of a GenBank genome assembly. NCBI's taxonomy places the organism in Eukaryota, Metazoa, Chordata, Actinopteri, Labriformes, Labridae.
UAUUGCUUUAAGGUGGUACUGAUUCAUUGGUAUUCAGUGGGAGAGAGUCAGCGUUUAGAUUGGAGAGCAUGUAUAAAUGAGAGAAGAAGCUGUAAUGUUUCGAUUGCAUUAAUAAAAGGGGAAGCCUUCGCUGUGGGUUUAUAGGAUUCUUGUGUCGCUGGGGUCCAUUCACUUUCACAAACAUGAAGCUGUUUGACUGCAGAAAGUGCAUUUGUGGGAUCCUUGUGACUGCAUAAAACAUUAUGUAAUCAAUACUGUGUAAUAGGUACUGAUACCAGAUGAGUAGAGUAUUGAGUUGUGUAUAGAGGUAUGGAUUACUGUGGUAUUGAUCGGACAGCUGUAACCCUCUCCUUUCCUCUCCUGGGUCUUUUAGGUUGCUGUUUUUCCUGAUCUCCUUUGUUCUGCAGAGUUUUUCUUCCUCCUCUUUCUGCUCCUAUCUCGUUCCCCUCAUUUUGGAGCACCCCCACUAAUCUGCAGAAUUAACUUAUUCUGCAUCUACCUGUAUUCUUUGAUUAUUGCUGAAAGCCUGAGCACUGAAACUGGCUGGGAUUAUGUCCUAGUGGAGUGUUUGAUGUUCCCCCCAUAAUGAGGCUGGCAGCAGAGGCGCCGCCACGCUUUAAACCAACCCUUUUAUGUGGAUGUAAUGUUGCAGCCAUCUUAAAAGCAGUUAUUACAGAGACAUCGCAUUCAGCCAGGCGUGUCCACUCCUGCAUCAAUUUAGGGUCACACCCGGGUCAAAUGGUGUUUAUGCUCAGCUGCAUUGCUAAUAGUUUUGUUAGCUUGAGGCAGCGCUGGAUUUCAGAGAGGCCUGCGAAAUUGCAACAGUGAGUCAAUGCAAGAUAACACAUACACACACACUCACUGUCACAGCUCAUAUGGGAAGUACUUAUUGGAUGAUGCACGGAACUUAGUUUAUUGACUGAUAAGAAUGUGUGUGUAUGAGCGCGUGUGUGCGUCUCAAGCACUACAAUUAUCACAUCCAGAGACCCCAAAGUUAUAAAGCUAGAAUUAAUUUGUCACUCUGUUCAGACAAAGGGAGUCCAACAGCCAGACCUGCUUCUUUUCACAUUAAGGAGCGUUAAGUAAAGCAGUUAAAGACAUGGAAAUGUUUUUAUUGAAUCUCUAUAAAUUCAUGUUUAUUCGCACAAAAUUAAACACUGUGUUUCUUAAUUGGAAACCAACAACGUUUUGAUUUUUGGCAGGGUUUCAUCCUCUGUUCUUGGAAAAAGUGAGACUAUAAAUGUAGUCUUUGCUUAACCUCCUCUGACCUGCUCCUUUGAUGUGCACUUUUAUUUCUUCUUAGCUAUUCAGGAUUAGUAAAAAAGAGACUGGGUGAAUAAAAAGUGGAUCAGAGUUCUUUGUUGCAAAUAAUUCAUGAGUCUAAGCCAGUGAUACACUCUUUGGGAGCGUUUGCAGGUGUAUUGUCUCAAACAGAUUAGUUUGAUCAGUCUGAAAAUAAUGUGAGGAGUUUUACCUGGAUAUGAAACAGUCUGUAUUUUUAAAUUGAUGCCUCUGUGUUUUCAAUAAAAUAUGGCCAGGACCUACUGGGACUAGAUCAGGCACAAAGUAGACUGUAUCAAGAUGAUCUGCAGCAGAUUUAGCUUGUACUCCUCACUAAAGCAGGGUCAUCAUAGGAGGGGAAAAGUGGGACCAACUAUCCAGGGCCCGCUCGGGGAAGGCAGUCCUUGAUGGGCUUGAAAAACAAAACUUCUCCGUUCUUCUCAUUUUGACAGACCUGUUUCAAACUCACACUUCAGAUUCACGCUUUGGGCUCUAUUUCCGUGACUCACCAGCGGCGUGGCAUAGGUACAGCAUAAGUCAGGUCGGCCGCGCUGUGCCGACAAGGUGUGCCCAAGCACAUUUUGGUAUUUUGGUGAGCGGCGCAGCCCGGCAUAAGUAUCCCCCCUCCCUAACUCAACUCCUCCCACCGCCGGCGGGCACAAAAAUGUCAUUGUGCCAGCUGAUUUUGUCGACACCCCUCCCUACCGCGCCACUACGCCCAGCUUGGCGGACCUUGGUGCGUCUCAGUCUACGACAAUAUCAUACUGACUGUGCACCGGGCUCCGCCAGACAAAAAUACCACUGCGGGGUCCGCCAUUCUCCGCCGUGCUGCCGGCAGUCACGAAAAUAGAGCCCUUUGUGUUAGUUUUAAAACUGUGCCAACAAUGCCAAACAAACCCAAAGUCUUUCAUGCUAAAUGAAGUUGUGUUAAAGUAUGUGAAUGAGUGAGAGGAACACUUCUAUUUAAGUCAUAAGGCCUGAUCUACUAAAGGUUUGCAUGUGCAAAACACAUGCAAACUUGAACAGUGUGGCUAAAUCUGCUGUUUCUUUGAGCCUCUUUGCUGUUAUUCAACAAACUAAAAUGUGUUGUCAGGGGAUUAAAAUAGUUAUAGAUAUUUAAUGCUCUUAAAAGAUGAUUUGCGUCAUGCACAGUUGGCUUGGGCUGUGGGGACUGGGCCCAAUGAGGUGUGUUUGCAGGGACCCCAGAGUUCCUGAAAGCACCCCUAACCGAAGACGUAAAGAAAAGAAGAAUCAUGGAGGUCUAAGGUUGUCAGGAGGGUCAGUCAGGAGCCACACCCUGCAAGAAAUCCACUUUGACAGGGUAAAAUCCCCCAACUGAAUUCAUGCUAGUGACUCUGUGCUGCUGUAGCUAACUGAUUACAUAAAUUAAUGCAUAUUUUUCAGAGAUAACCUUUACUCACAGCCCCAUGACAACUUUGUUUGAGGGACAACAUUCACUGAAAAACUAUUGGAUCCCCUGAUGAGGUGGAACUUUUUACUCUAAUACAUUAUGAUAUGAUUUUAUAGCAGACUUUGUUUGAGUCCAACUUCAUCCUCAACUUUUUUAUCUAUUUUUUUAUAUCUCUUUCUUGCUUUUGUUUCCUGUAUUUCUUUUUAUUUCUUUUAUUAUUAGUAUUUUAGACCCUCUUUUAUUACUUGUUAUUGCUUUAUUUCCCCAGUUUUUUAUUUCUUUUGUUUAUUGCCAUUACUUCUUCAUUGUUUAUUUAUUUACAUUUUUUAUCACUUUUUACUGCAUUCAUCAACUUUGUCUUCUCAUACUUUUGUUUUCAUUUUCUUAACAUCCUUUGAGUCUUUCUCAAACUUCUGCACCUGUUUGGUUCUCUUGCACACAUUUUGUCACACAGCAAAAAACAAAAGCUACACAGGUUGUUAAAUGCUAAAAUGAUCAUUAAUUAAACAGUAAAAAAUCAUUUAACUAAUGGUGUCAAUUUGAAACAGGUAAGUAACAUAAAUCAGUAUAAAAACAUUGAAGAGAGGCUGAGUCUCUCAUGAUGUAGGAUGGAAAAGAGGUUGACUGCUCUGUGCGAGACUGUGUAGGCAAAUGUUGGGCAAUUUCUGAAUAAUCUUCCUUGUCAUCUACAGUGCAUAAUAUCAAUUAAUUGCUUUUUUUUUUUGAUUUAAGGAAAAGAAUUAUCACUCAAAUACUACUUCCAUUGAUUGACUAUGCCAAUGUUGUGUAUCAAAACACCACAGACACUCAUCUCAAACCUCUCAAUGUCUUAUAGAACUCUCUGUGCAGGUUUGAGGUGUCCAUAUAGAAUUCAUCACUGUCUCAUGUACAACUGUCUAAACUGGUUGCAGCCCAGAUCAAGAAGACAAUUACACUGGUAUUUCAUCAUUUAUAAAUGCACUUACUUAACCUUGUCUGCCUCAUCAUAUCCAUUUAGACAUCUCCAAUAUCCUUAAUUCAAAAUACCAAAAAUCACUAAAAAGGUAGGACAGAGAUCUUUCAGUUACAAAGUUCCCUCAGAUUGGAAUAAUCUCCCCCUAUCUCUCAGAUCUAUCUCAUCCAUCGGUCGCUUCAGGACUUCCCUUUAUUUACAUUUGGACCCGACCUGUUCAUGUUUGUAGACUGGUUGUGCUUGCUUUAUCCUAACAUAUUUGAAUGUACUCUCACUGUGCCCUUUAUUUAUUUAUUUAUUUAUUUAUAAUUGUGUUGUUUAUCAGCUGAUGGUGUGGUGGUCUGUGGGGUGGGUGGGAGAGGGUGAGCAAGCUAUGUGUAUGUAUGCUAUGUAUGUAUAUGUUUGUGCGUAUGUAUCUAUCUAUGUAUGUAUGUAUACAUGUAAGUAUCUAUAUAUCUAUGCAGUAUGUGUUUAUGUGCUCUUUUUAUGUUUUCUGCGACCCCCUCGGAAAUGAGAUGGUGCAUCUCAAGGGGCAAUCCCCUCAAUAAAAUCUGAAAUCAUUGAAAGAUUCAGGUAUCUGGAGGAAUCUCUUAAUAAAAGGACAAGUCUCAAAAGAUAGCACUGUGUGGCUGUGAUCUUAGAGCUUGCAGGCAGCACUGUCUUGAAAACAUACAGGGCUCUGUAGUGAAAGUCACUGCACGGACAUGAAGCAAUUUCCCAAAUCUAUUGUCCGUAAACACUUUAUCACUGCCUGGACAAAUGCACAUUCAAACUGUACCAUGCAAAGAGCUCAGGAUUGUUAAAGAGUUAUUUGGAAAUAAUUCAGACCAUACUGGUGGGACAUUUAUGGCAACUGAAUAUGGCUUAUAAAAUGAUGAAGUAUCAUUAUUGCAUUGCAUACAUUUUUCAACCACCAUCAGCUGCAUAAACUAGCAGCUUGAGAUAAUCAGAGAGCCUGAUGGCUUCCUCCACCCUGACAAACCAAUCCAAGCCAGCCCAGCUGCUCUGGAAGCACCAAUAAGUCACGGUUCAAUAAGUGACCCUCCAAAAGGACCAGUCAUGCAAGGCUGAGUGUAUGAGCACCAUGAAAUAUGUUUGCAGGAAGGGUGCAAUACAUGCAAGCAGAGAUCUCUCUCAUAUUUCCCCCCAGCCUCGUCUUCACACAAACAUGUGAAAUUAAGCUUCAUGAUAAAAUAUUGUUUCAUGACUUAGAAAAUGGAAAAAUUGUUCUGGUGGAAAAUCAUUGAACCAAGAUUUUUUUUUUCCUGACCAGAACUUUUUUUAAUGUUUCUCUAUAAAUGCUACUCUCAUCAGAAUCUAAUGCCAAGGCAAGCUCCUCUUAUCAUAUCAGCGAUUUGUUCCACUUUGAUUACUUAAAUGGAAAAUAAAUUACAGCUCCAAGAAUCACACUUUGAUUCAUUUGUCUGUGCUAAGUAAAGCUGGCCAACUCUGUGGAAAAUAAAUAAAUAAAACUCCUCAGGAGCUGGAAAGGAACAAAAGGAAAAAUCCAGAGUACCCAUCAUGGACUUAUUUUGGAGCCGUCAUACAUUUUGUCAGGUUUCAGUCAAAGGCGAUAAAAGUGUCAGCUAAUUCAUCACCUUUCUGCGAAGCUGAAAAUGAAAACACAUGUUGUGAGAGGAAAAAAAAGUGGCUCAGGCCUCUUCAUAAAGCCCAGGAGUGACAGGAAAUCCAUUUCUGUCGCAUGCAAUUACCAGCAUGCUGAUUCGGUGAAAAACACUCCUGCUUUAUAUUUCAUCAAGGCCAUAGAGGAGCUGAGGUGGCACUCAAUACUGGCCUCCAAAGCAGCCUACACACACUCUCACUGUACGGACAUACAUGAAUACACCGAAAAGAUGACUUUUUACACAAAUGCAUAUAGAAAUGAUAUUCAAUGAGCAAAUUGAUGUAAUAUAAAGGUAAAACAGUACCACCGUGAUCUACCAUAUUUCUGCUGAAACUAUUUGAAUUUGUUUAGUGCUGAAAAUACGUCUAAAUGAUUUCAACCAGAAGAGGACUGAGGCUGGACUUACAUCACAUAACUUCCCAUGUGAUUUUGAGUCAGUAUUAAAAAAAAAGAACCAUUUCCAGAGCCUGAAUAAAAUCAUUAGAGAUGGGCUGAAGUCUGGGCCCACUCGUGUGAUCUCUGUGAUUUGUGUAACAAAGUCUUUAGACAUGGUUCAGACUGAUUUAAGGCUGUCUUGUUGUGUCUUGGCAGGACAAAAUAAAACCUCUUCAUUGUCAUUAUGGGUCUUAAAGCUCCUCUGAGGACUUUCUGAUAUGUGACAACCUUGGCGUCUCCUGCGGAAACUACAAACUCUGAUUAUCUUGUUCUGUACGUGCAUAUGUGAUGUCUUUCGAAUGUCAAACUUACAAUAUACUAAGAACAUGUUGUGAGGAAAUUGUAAAAACAGAGCUGUUUCUUCUGCCUCUCAGCAGACACUUGCCUCCUGCCAGUAGUUUGGGAUUUAAAAGCUACUACAUUAAAAUCGCUAAUCAUGUUCCUCCUGGUUUAGUUUUCUUUUGGGCACCAUAAAGUACAAAUACACAUUUUAGUCUAUUUUGUGCAAGAACAAGAACUUCUCACAGGAGCUUUAAGUCUCAGCCUAUGCAAAUCAGGUUGUACAAUGACAUGAACAUUAUCAACAACCGAUAGGUGUGUGAUCAACGGUCCCUGACAAGGAGCCAAACAAACGAGAUAUGGAGCCAAAUAAAUGUCAAUAUUAAAUUAAUCAAGGAGUUUUUUUCGUCACUCAGGGACAAUUUUCAUAGAUCUCCUUUGACUUUAACUUUAUUCCAGGUUUAACAGCUCAUGUUACAGUUUCAGAGCAAGGUACUCUAAAUUUUAUUUAAGAAAGUUGAGGGACAUGUCUACUGCUAUAACAAUUACCACUGACCAUUGAAUGACAUAUCCUUGAGUGUUGUUCACCAAAGCCGUAUUCACACAUGCACUCUUGAAAAUUUUUAGGGCUCUCGCAUGAAAAUCCACCUGACUGUAUUGUUCACACCUACACUCACAGCAUGAUGCGGGGGCGGGGGGUAGGAUUCAGACAUCUGAAGACCCAUUGACUUCAGUCUAUAUGAGCUUCAUCAAGAGACUAGCAGAUAAAAGUAUCUCUGUCUCCAGAAAACUGUCAAAACUUGAACUGUAACAUCCUCUGAUGUUGGAUGCUGAUUAUGUUCUACUAUAUACAGUAUUUUGAGUCUGCACUUAACAUUAUUUGUUCAGAGGGCCAUUCAGAGGGUUUAAUAUACUGUCUUUUUGAACCUCAGAAGAAAAGGUUCAAACUGCACAAAGUAGAAAUGUCGGUCCAAGUGAAGAAAUCAGGAUGCAGAUAAGAACACUGAGACUUCAUCAGUUCAAUCC